CACAGGGAAGCAACUGGUACAGCUCAGUAUUGAUGAUUAAUACUACUAAUUAGUCACAAUUCAGGAAGAUGUGGGUGGGUGCAAGGGAACACCAGUUAGUUCAUAGAGACACCUCUCCUUCACGUCAGCCUCUGACCCAGAUCUUCAGAACAGGAAGCCUGUGAAAUGACACAUUCAUAGAGGUCAGAGACAACUUUUGGAAGUCAAUUCUUCCCUGCCACCUUCUGGGAUGCUGGGAUUGAACUCUGAUUCUUGGGUCCACCUUUUGCAGUGUUAGAAGGCUUCCUUCGGAAGCCCAGGGACCAUAUGGACAUGCUUGACAGCCAGCCCUUAGGAGGAGGAAAAGGAAGUAUUGGUGUCUGCUCUUAUCUGAACUUGAAGUAACAGGGAAAGUCUACACAUGGCUUCUGUCGUGGGGAGGUCAAGUUUGGCGUUGCAUGUGUUUGGAAAAAAGGAAAGGACCAGCCAUUUCUCCUUUGCUGGGAUCUAUGUGAUACUCCCAAUGCAGAGUACACUCAUACCCAC
Non-coding RNA from Myodes glareolus (Bank vole), 525 nucleotides. The record is from RefSeq and is a predicted model, not a curated record. NCBI's taxonomy places the organism in Eukaryota, Metazoa, Chordata, Mammalia, Rodentia, Cricetidae.